AAAUCAACAGUAUUUUUUUUACAGCUCCAACACCCUUAACUGUAUAUAAGUACAUGCAAGGAUACAAUAUGCAAUAUGAUUCCAAUCUUAUUAAAACAGUAAUGUCAAAUGCCAUGGGUCAUGUUGGGAGAGAGCAAUAUUUAAUAUUAACUGCAAAUUAAAGAAUUCUUGUAACAACUCUUUAAGGGGUCUUUGCCAGUUUGCCAACUUGUCUUACAUCUAUUACAAUCAGUGGCAAAUCUUCAGGUGAAGUUCAUGUAUUUUUAUUCCUAAUUUUAUGCAAUAUCUUAAAAUGUUUCAAAAUAAAACUUUUGAGAUAUCCAAUUAAUGUCAUCUGAGAUUUGGCAGUUUUGUUGCCAAUGACUGACCGUCUAAUGCGGAAUAUUGACAGUAGAUGUCAUCCAACCUAAAAGAGGUUGUACAUUUUAAGGUCUAGGCAUUCAGUGUUACCCUUGUCCAUCUGUACAUUCCAAAAUUAGUUUCCAUUCUCUAACUUUAGUUUGCCUCAACCAAAUGUUAUGAAGAUUAUAUACAAUGCUUAUUACCACAAAACACAGAUCAAAUUCGAAUUUAGGUGUUGUCACUUUUACCCUUCAUGCCCUUCUGGAGGUAUGUCACUUUAUAACGUUAUAUUCAGGCAGGGGCAUCAUCUGUCCCAUAGACACAUUCUCCAUUUAUCUAUACUUGUCAUGCUGCAUAGGAAUUGGUUUUUACAUUCAUUGUAUACUCACAAUUAAGGUAAUUAGGAUUAGCCAAACAUUGUAUACUCACAAUUAAGGUAAUUAGGAUAAGCCAAACAUUGUAUACUCACAGUUAAGGUAAUCAGGAUUAGCCAAACAUUGUAUACUCACAGUUAAGGUAAUUAGGAUUAGCCAAUCAUUGUAUACUCACAAUUAAGGUAAUUAGGAUUAGCCAAACAUUGUAUACUCACAAUUAAGGUAAUUAGGAUUAGCCAAACAUUGUAUACUCACAAUUAAGGUAAUUAGGAUUAGCCAAACAUUGUAUACUCACAAUUAAGGUAAUUAGGAUUAGCCAAACAUUGUAUACUCACAAUUAAGGUAAUUAGGAUUAGCCAAACAUUGUAUACUCACAAUUAAGGUAAUUAGGAUUAGCCAAACAUUGUAUACUCACAAUUAAGGUAAUUAGGAUUAGCCAAACAUUGUACAAAUUCUAACUCUGUCUGGAAUCUCACUCUUUCAUCUGCUUC
Molecule: long non-coding RNA, 1207 nt
Organism: Mytilus californianus (California mussel)
Lineage: Eukaryota; Metazoa; Mollusca; Bivalvia; Mytilida; Mytilidae
Exons: 4
Source: RefSeq, a predicted model, not a curated record